AUCUAGGGAACUGCUUAGUUUGAGUAGGAAUGAGAUUAAAAAGUCCAUUAGGUUUACUAACUGGACAUUGCUCUCUUAAUAGGCAUCUUAAUCUGAUGGUGGUUACCAACGAUCCAUUGUGUAGAGGAUGCCAUAUGGCAGAUGAAAGCUCAAUUCAUGUACUGUGUGAAUGUGACUAUUAUUCUGCUCAAACAUUGGAAUAUUUAGGAUACCACAACGUGGAUCCUUGAGAACUAACUACCUAACAUGUCGGUUAGACAACCGCUGAAAUUCUUUUCUGUUAUUGAGCUCUUCUUGUGGUCCUAGGGAGGAUAGUAGAACAGACCAGUGGUCUCAGUGCUCGCGCUUGUUUCAAACGUCCCCUUUUCCACUUCAUAACUUCAACUAUAAUUUAAAUGUAUGCAAAUGUUAUUGAUCUUUUAAUGCUAUUGCAUACACUAGUAUAAUUUUUACCCAAUUUGUGGAUUAUCCACAGUUACCAUGUCACCCUACUCCACAGAUAAUCGGAAGUUUACUGUAUUCAGUACUUGUAAAAAUGUUCUCAUCUGAUAUUCUGAAAUUGUUCUCUAGUUUUUAUUCUUUUUAAUUAUUUUUAGGUCUUCCCCUACCUGAUAUAUCUAUAAAAAGUGCCUUUAGUGUUGCAAAUAAGUGCAAGUAUCAGUGUCAUCACUGCUCGUACUCAACUGACAUUGGAUCAAAUUUGAAGUACCAUAUUAUUACUCAUACAGGGGAGAAACCAUUUACCUGUAAAGAGUGCAAUAAAGGUUUUAGUCAUCCUUCAUCAGUGAAAAGACAUAUGCGUUUGCAUGCAAGUCCAAUGGAUUACGAUCAAGUUGAUCCUUGAUGUAAUGGAGGAUAAUGAGGAAUAAGAAUUAUUAUUCCAAGUUCAACAUGUCCAGAAAAAAGAGAAACUACUGAACCUUCAAAAGAAAAGCCUUUCCAUUGUCAAUAUUGUGGAAAGUCUUUUAUGACAGUUUCAGGUUUGACUCGACAUGUUCGUGUGCAUACCGGUGAAAAUUUGUUUCCUUGCGAAGAAUGUGGUAAAAAGUUCACUCAGAAAUGUCACUUGAAAGGACAUCUUGAGAUUCAUGAGAGAAACAGAAAUAACUGACACUCACCAGAUUAUUGGGAAUAUCAACUUGUAUACAACACUUAAUGUUUCAAGAACUGAUAUUUAAAAUUCUCUUGUUAUACAAAACAUUUUAUUAAAUGCUAGCCACGGAAAAACUCGAUUUCUUUUCAUUCAAACUCGUUUUUUUUUAAAAAUCUUUAUGAAAUAAGUAUUCUAAAAUAUUUUUUUGUUGAUCUUAUCACAUUUGUAAAUUAAUUUUUUACCCUUCCCAAUGUGUUUCCACAUACAGUAAACACUCGAUUAUCCGCGGAUCUUUUCACAUGCUUUUUUUUAUAAACUCAUGAUUGUGUUAUUCUUCAUUUUCCCUUUUCCAUAUGUUUUUUACAUUCAAUGUUAGUAGAUGAAAUGUAGCCAUGUUUGUAGCUAUAAUUUAAAUAUAUUUAUGAGUGUUUUUAUUCUUACUUUUUUAGGUAUUGUAUUGAGUAGCAUCGUUUUUUACCUAUUAUUCAGAUUAUCUGCCGUUACCGUGCCACCCUAUUCCGCGGAUAAUCGGGUAUAUGUACUUUGUGUCAAUGAAAAGAUUUUAAUAUUUUCAUCUUCUUAAUUAGUAAUACUAAGUUGUGGAACUAGUUGUAAUAAAUUUGACGUUGUUUUUGAACA
Long non-coding RNA from Uloborus diversus, 1732 nucleotides. RefSeq lists it as uncharacterized. The transcript is spliced from 3 exons. The record is from RefSeq and is a predicted model, not a curated record. NCBI's taxonomy places the organism in Eukaryota, Metazoa, Arthropoda, Arachnida, Araneae, Uloboridae.